ACAAUGGCCGGUACAGAGGGUCGCUACCUGGUGACAGGAUGCCAAUCUCAAAAUCCGGUCUUAGUUCGGAUUGGAGUCUGUAACCCGACUCCAUGAAGUUGGAUUCGCUAGUAAUCGCGCAUCAGCCAUGGCGCGGUGAAUACGUUCCCGGGCCUUGUACACACCGCCCGUCAAGCCAUGGAAGCCGGGGGUGCCUGAAGUCCGUAACCGUGAGGAUCGGCCUAGGGCAAAACUGGUAACUGGGGCUAAGUCGUAACAAGGUACC
RNAcentral lists this ribosomal RNA (265 nucleotides) under uncultured bacterium. RNAcentral describes it as "partial 16S ribosomal RNA". It matches the Rfam family "Bacterial small subunit ribosomal RNA", at positions 1227 to 1500 of the family's 1533-position model. The record is from RNAcentral.